Molecule: ribosomal RNA, 253 nt
Filed under: uncultured bacterium
Lineage: Bacteria
Description: partial 16S ribosomal RNA
Rfam family: Bacterial small subunit ribosomal RNA
Source: RNAcentral
UACGUAGGUGGCGAGCGUUGUCCGGAUUUACUGGGCGUAAAGCGCGCGCAGGCGGACUGAUCAGUCUGGGGUGAAAUCUCACGGCUCAACUGUGAGCGGUCCCUGGAUACUGUCAGCCUUGAGAUGUCUAGAGGAGAGCGGAAUUCCCGGUGUAGUGGUGGAAUGCGUAGAUAUCGGGAAGAACACCAGUGGCGAAAGCGGCUCUCUGGGGACCAUCUGACGCUGAGGCGCGAAAGCGUGGGUAGCGAACAGG